RNAcentral lists this ribosomal RNA (394 nucleotides) under uncultured bacterium. RNAcentral describes it as "bacterial SSU rRNA". It matches the Rfam family "Bacterial small subunit ribosomal RNA", at positions 29 to 413 of the family's 1533-position model. The record is from RNAcentral.
AAUCAACGCUGGCGGCGUGCCUAACACAUGCAAGUCGAACGCGAAAGCCCCGCAAGGGGCAAGUAGAGUGGCAAACGGGUGAGUAACACGUGGGUGACCUGCCUUCGAGUGGGGGAUAACGUCCCGAAAGGGACGCUAAUACCGCAUAACAUCCUGCCUUUUAAAAGGUGGACAUCAAAGCCGGGGAUCGCAAGACCUGGCGCUUGAAGAGGGGCCCGCGCCUGAUUAGCUAGUUGGUGGGGAAUGGCUCACCAAGGCAACGAUCAGUAUCCGGCCUGAGAGGGCGGACGGACACACUGGGACUGAGACACGGCCAGACUCCUACGGGAGCAGCAGUGGGAAUUGUUCGCAAUGGGCNCAAGCCUGACGACGCAACGCCGCGUGGAGGAUGAAG